AACGAACGCUGGCGGCAUGCCUAACACAUGCAAGUCGAACGAGAUCUUCGGGUCUAGUGGCACACGGGUGCGUAACGCGUGGGAAUCUGCCCGCUGGUUCGGAAUAAGAGUUGGAAACGCCUGCUAAUACCGGAUGAUGACGAAAGUCCAAAGAUUUAUCGCCAGAGGAUGAGCCCGCGUAGGAUUAGCUAGUUGGUGUGGUAAAGGCGCACCAAGGCGACGAUCCUUAGCUGGUCUGAGAGGAUGAUCAGCCACACUGGGACUGAGACACGGCCCAGACUCCUACGGGAGGCAGGAGUGGGGAAUAUUGGACAAUGGGCGAAAGCCUGAUCCAGCAAUGCCGCGUGAGUGAUGAAGGCCUUAGGGUUGUAAAGCUCUUUUACCCGGGAUGAUAAUGACAGUACCGGGAGAAUAAGCUCCGGCAAACUCCGUGCCAGCCGCCGCGGUAA
This 449-nucleotide ribosomal RNA is filed under the name uncultured bacterium. RNAcentral's name for it is "partial 16S ribosomal RNA". It matches the Rfam family "Bacterial small subunit ribosomal RNA", at positions 29 to 523 of the family's 1533-position model. The record is from RNAcentral.